UACCAGCAGCUCGAGUGGUGAUCGCUAUUAUUGGGCCUAAAGCGUCCGUAGCCGGUUUGGUAAACCCUUGGGUAAAUCGGGCAGCUUAACUGUCCGAAUUCUGAGGAGACUGCCAGACUUGGGACCGGGAGAGGUCAGAGGUACUUCUAGGGUAGAGGUGAAAUUCUGUAAUCCUAGGAGGACCACCAGUGGCGAAGGCGUCUGACUAGAACGGGUCCGACGGUAAGGGACGAAACCCUGGGGCGCGAACCGGAUUAGAUACCCCCGUA
This 269-nucleotide ribosomal RNA is filed under the name uncultured prokaryote. RNAcentral describes it as "partial 16S ribosomal RNA". It matches the Rfam family "Archaeal small subunit ribosomal RNA", at positions 474 to 743 of the family's 1478-position model. The record is from RNAcentral.